GCAGCUGCUCCCUGAUCUCCAUCAGCACUUGAGUUUUUGGAGCAUUGAGAGGGACGUAGCUGUGGAAUCUUCCUUUGGGAGAGCUCCACCAAACUCUACGGUCUGGGCUUCUCUACCUACGAGCUCUGGGGGGAGUUCUGACAUGCUUGUGUCCGGGGGGAGUUCGAGAAUGUGGCCAAGCUUCACUCGGCCCUUGUUCAGCUGCAGGCUUGCUGGAGUCACCCGCCUGCUGCUCCUUCACGGCCUCCUCAUCCUUCAGCUUGAAGGUUUUCUCUGCUCGGGCAUAUCCUUCAGCCCGAGCCAAUAAAUCAGCAAAGUCCCUGGGAUACUUAUUUUCCAAGAAAAAUAGAAGGUCAUUCUUUUGAAGAUCGCUCUUCAGGGCGGCCAUUGCAACUGA
RNAcentral lists this long non-coding RNA (397 nucleotides) under Elaeis guineensis (African oil palm). RNAcentral describes it as "long non-coding RNA (EGUI_LNC077270)". Lineage: Eukaryota; Viridiplantae; Streptophyta; Magnoliopsida; Arecales; Arecaceae. The record is from RNAcentral.